UAUGUGAUCGUCUCUCGCAUAUCAAUAAGCGGAGGAAAAGAAACUAACAAGGAUUCCCCUAGUAACGGCGAGUGAAGCGGGAAGAGCUCAAAUUUGAAAUCUUAAAGGGUUUCCCUUUACGAAUUGUAGUUUAAAGAAGUGUUUUCUGUUGAGGUUUUGGUAAAAGUUCUUUGGAAUAGGACAUCAUAGAGGGUGAGAAUCCCGUAUUUGACCUUUACUUUCAACUUUGUGAUACACUUUCAAAGAGUCGGAUUGUUUGGGAAUGCAGUCCAAAAUGGGUGGUAAAUUUCAUCUAAAGCUGAAUAUUGGCGAGAGACCGAUAGCGAACAAGUACCGUGAGGGAAAGAUGAAAAGAACUUUGAAAAGAGAGUUAAACAGUACGUGAAAUUGUCAAAAGGGAAGCGUUUGACACCAGUGUUGUUUUUCUGAAAAUCAAUUAAAGAACUGUUUAUGCUAAGUUGUUUAGACUCUAUCAGCUAACUGUUUAGUUUUGAGCUUUUCUUUAAUGCACUUUUCAGUUAACAAGUCAAUAUCAAUUUCUUUUGCUGUAAAAAAGCUUGAGGAAGGUGGCUUGAGAUUCGUCUUAAGUGUUUAUAGCCUCUUGCCUAUGCAGUCGGAGAGAUUGAGGUCUGCAGCGUAGAUCCUUCGGGGCUAAAUGCAUUUGUGCUAAGUUAUAGCAUUUUAUAGACAACUUGUUGACUAUGAUUUGUCUUGUAGCUUACUCGCUUAUGUUAUUUUACCUACGCUUAGGAUGUUGACACACGCGCGUGCUCG
Molecule: ribosomal RNA, 774 nt
Filed under: uncultured Neocallimastigales
Lineage: Eukaryota; Fungi; Neocallimastigomycota; Neocallimastigomycetes; Neocallimastigales
Description: partial large subunit ribosomal RNA
Rfam family: Eukaryotic large subunit ribosomal RNA
Source: RNAcentral